AGUAGCGGCCAUAGCGGCGGGGAAACACCUGGACCCAUUCCGAACCCAGAAGUAAAGCCCGUCCACGUAUCGUGCGGUACUCAGGUACGCGAGUCCUCGGGAAACACGAUUCGCUGCUACUG
This 122-nucleotide ribosomal RNA is filed under the name Methanomicrobiales archaeon. The record is from RNAcentral. Lineage: Archaea; Methanobacteriati; Methanobacteriota; Methanomicrobia; Methanomicrobiales.